Long non-coding RNA from Carassius carassius (crucian carp), 1052 nucleotides. RefSeq lists it as uncharacterized. NCBI's taxonomy places the organism in Eukaryota, Metazoa, Chordata, Actinopteri, Cypriniformes, Cyprinidae. The transcript has 4 exons. The record is from RefSeq and is a predicted model, not a curated record.
CGAUUCAAACGUUAUCACUCGAUUGAAUGGGCGUUAUCAGCGGUUAUCAGCCCAUAGAUAUGGGCCAGGAGGGGCCUCCUGCGCCUACUAGUAGGCUCAGAAGGCUGUGAUCAUCCACCCACAUGGUUGAUCACCCACAAAUAUACAAGAGAAGACUCCAGAUCCAAUCCCAGAAUUCCUGCUCACCGGUAAUCGGAAGUCUACUGGACGAACGCGGCAACGUUGCGAUAUUUCCUGCUUAAUAUUUUCAGCAUACAUUUCCAGCUGGUUGCAAGGACUUCUGUGGCAAGUUUGUUUUAUUACUUCCAUGCUCUAUGUCUUUGUUGAACUAUCCAAAAUUUGGUUUUGGGCUGUUUAGAAUUUAUUGUUCACAAAUCUGUCUUGUGCAAGUUUCUCUCUGUUUAUGUUUUAGGUUGAAGAUGGCCCAGAGAGGUAAGCCUUACAGUUGCUAAUCUAGAAGCAUUAGGCAAGAGUGUCUGAGAACGAUGAACUGGAUCGGUAAUUACAAAAGAUCACAAAUGACUAAUGCUUCGUCUGAACCCCGGCCAAAGUUCACAUUAGAGAGCUGUCGCCUUACAAUCUUUUGUAGGGACAUAUUCAAAAACAAAGAUGGAGGCAAUUUUUGCUGUGUCUGCCGCGUCCAUUUUGAUGAUAAGAAGAAGAAUGCAAGAAAGAAGUGGCGUUCAUGGUCUCAGUGCACAGUGUGCCAAUCAUGGUCACACACAGCAUGUGGCUUUAAAAAGAACGUGCCUUCACCGCCAGUGUCAAGACACAAUGCAAACACCCUGAAGAUGUAUCUUGUUACUUGUUUGGGUUGUUUUUACUGUGUUGACGGCCCCCAACCCAUCCAUACAAACACACACACACAAUACAUACAUAUGCUGCAAAUUUAUUGUAAUGACUACACUUCACACGUAAGAAGAAAAUUGUGAUCUUUUUGUUAUUUUCAUUCAUCCCAAUUUUUAUUUAUUAUUGUUGUUUGUUGGGACCAUCAAUGUGGUCUCCUUUAUACAGGACUUAUGUGGGGACCAAUAAAGUUAUAUUGUACUGAA